RNAcentral lists this unclassified non-coding RNA (332 nucleotides) under soil metagenome. RNAcentral's name for it is "partial contains 5.8S ribosomal RNA, internal transcribed spacer 2, and large subunit ribosomal RNA". The stretch from base 1 to 120 matches the Rfam family "5.8S ribosomal RNA", at positions 35 to 154 of the family's 154-position model. The record is from RNAcentral.
GAUGAAGAACGUAGCGAAAUGCGAUAAGUAGUGUGAAUUGCAGAAUUCAGUGAAUCAUCGAAUCUUUGAACGCACAUUGCGCCCUUUGGUAUUCCUUAGGGCAUGCCUGUUCGAGCGUCAUUUAAACCUUCAAGCUAAGCUUGGUGUUGGGUGACUGUCCGCUUCACUGCGGACUCGCCUCAAAAUUAUUGGCGGCCGGUACAUUGGCUUCGAGCGCAGCAGAAACGCGAACUCGGGCCCGUCGUAUUGGCUCCCAGAAGCUAUCUUCACAAUUUUGACCUCGGAUCAGGUAGGGAUACCCGCUGAACUUAAGCAUAACAAUAAGCGGAGGA